This 1158-nucleotide ribosomal RNA is filed under the name Triticum aestivum (bread wheat). RNAcentral's name for it is "partial small subunit ribosomal RNA". Lineage: Eukaryota; Viridiplantae; Streptophyta; Magnoliopsida; Poales; Poaceae. The record is from RNAcentral.
AUGGAGCGUCGCCGGAGCCGCCCGCCGUCGGUGGCCGCCGCCGGAGUCCUCCUUCUCUGCCUGGCGACGCUGGUGGUGGUCGGCGCGCUGCUGCCCGCUGCCUGGGCCGCGUCGGCGGACGGCUGCCCGGCCGGCGGCGAGCGGGCGAGCAAGCAGCAGGGGAGAAGUCGUGGUGGUCAUCAUCACCGGAAGCAUGCGGCGGAGGAGGAGCUGUGGGUGUUCGGCGACUCGUACGCGGACACGGGCAACCUGGGGAACCUGGGGCGGGAGCUGACCCACGCCUGGUACGACCCCUACGGCAAGACCUUCCCACGCCGCCCCGCCGGCCGCUUCUCCGACGGCCGCGUCCUCACCGACUUCGUCGCUUCGGCGCUGGGGAUGCGGACGCCGGUGGCCUACAAGGCGCGGCGGCGGGCGUCGCAGGAGACCCUCGCGCGCGGCAUGAACUUCGCCGUCGGCGGCGCCGGCGUGCUCGACACGGGCAACUUCCAGCGCAACAUCAGCGCCCAGAUCGACCUCUUCCAGGCCAUGCACCACACCCAGCAGCGGGGCUGCGGCAAGCGGACGGCGCUCGUCGUCGUCUCCGGCAACGACUACGCCUACGCCGCCGACAAGGACAACGGCACCAGCGCGGCGAUCGAGUACAUCCCGACGGUGGUGCGGGAGCUCCGGGGGCAGCUCCGGCGGCUGCGCGACGAGGCGGGGAUGCGGAGGGUGGUGGUGACCAACCUGCACCCCAUGGGGUGCACGCCGACAUUCACCCGCCUGCUCAACUACACCGGCUGCGACCCGCUGGCCAACGCCGGCGCCGCCCAGCACAACGCCGCGCUCCGGUCCGUCCUCGCCGCCCUCGACCCCAACAACCGCACCUUCCUCCUCCUCGACGUCCACACCCCCUUCGCCGCCUUCCUCCUCGACGACGACAACAAUGGUGACCAUGACAACAAGAGGUUCAAGAGCACGCUGCGGCCCUGCUGCGAGAGCUUCAGGCCGGACGGCUACUGCGGCGAGGAGGACGAGAACGGCACGCGGCAGUACACGCUCUGCGACGACCCCGGCCGCUACUUCUACUGGGACGACGUGCACCCGACGCAGGCCGCCUGGGCCGCCGUCGCGCGCACCUUCAGGGCCGCCGUCAAGAGCUUCCUCUCCACCUGA